AGAGUUUGAUCAUGGCUCAGGAUGAACGCUAGCGGCAGGCCUAAUACAUGCAAGUCGAACGGGUGCCCCUCGGGGCACCAGUGGCGCACGGGUGCGUAACGCGUAUGCAACCUACCUACCACUGGGGGAUAGCCUCCCGAAAGGGAGAUUAAUACCGCAUAACACAGCUUGAGGGCAUCUGAGGGCUGUUAAAGAUUUAUCGGUGGUAGAUGGGCAUGCGUGCCAUUAGCUAGUUGGCGGGGUAACGGCCCACCAAGGCUACGAUGGCUAGGGGUUCUGAGAGGACGGUCCCCCACACUGGCACUGAGAUACGGGCCAGACUCCUACGGGAGGCAGCAGUAGGGAAUAUUGGGCAAUGGGCGGAAGCCUGACCCAGCCAUGCCGCGUGCAGGAUGAAGGCCUUCUGGGUUGUAAACUGCUUUUACAGGGGAAGAAAACACCCAUGCGUGGGGAACUGACGGUACCCUGGGAAUAAGCACCGGCUAACUCCGUGCCAGCAGCCGCGGUAAUACGGAGGGUGCAAGCGUUGUCCGGAUUUAUUGGGUUUAAAGGGUGCGUAGGCGGCCCCUUAAGUCAGCGGUGAAAGCCCGGGGCUCAACCCCGGAACCGCCGUUGAUACUGGGGGGCUUGAGUACAGACGAGGUUGGCGGAAUUGAGGGUGUAGCGGUGAAAUGCUUAGAUACCCUCAAGAACACCGAUUGCGUAGGCAGCUAACUAGGCUGUAACUGACGCUGAGGCACGAAAGCGUGGGGAGCGAACAGGAUUAGAUACCCUAGUAGUCC
RNAcentral lists this ribosomal RNA (782 nucleotides) under uncultured bacterium. RNAcentral describes it as "bacterial SSU rRNA". It matches the Rfam family "Bacterial small subunit ribosomal RNA", at positions 8 to 796 of the family's 1533-position model. The record is from RNAcentral.